Molecule: small nuclear RNA, 104 nt
Organism: Jaculus jaculus (lesser Egyptian jerboa)
Lineage: Eukaryota; Metazoa; Chordata; Mammalia; Rodentia; Dipodidae
Source: Ensembl
GAGCUCACUUCCGCAGCACAUAUACUAAAAUUGUAACCAUACAGAGAUUACCAUGACCCCCAUGCAAGGAUGACUCGCAAAUUUGUGAAGAGUUCCAUAUUAAA